AUUCCAGCUCCAAUAGCGUAUAUUAAAGUUGUUGCAGUUAAAAAGCUCGUAGUUGGAUUUCUGUCUUGGAUGUCCUGUCCGCUUCCUCUGGGAGUGUGUACUUAUGGAUAUUCGAGACAUUUUUUGUGAGACUGCCUUUCUGCCAUUAAGUUGGUGGGUUGGUGGGCUUGCAUCGUUUACUGUGAAAAAAUUAGAGUGUUUAAAGCAGGCGUUUGCUCAUUUGAAUACAUUAGCAUGGAAUAAUAAGAUACGGCCUUGGUCUAUUUUGUUGGUUUUGCACACCAGGGUAAUGAUUAAUAGGGACAGUUGGGGGUAUUCAUAUUUCAGCGUCAGAGGUGAAAUUCUUGGAUCGCUGAAAGAUGAGCUUAGGCGAAAGCAUUUACCAAGGAUGUUUUCAUCA
This 400-nucleotide ribosomal RNA is filed under the name Peronosporales sp. Its description in RNAcentral is "partial small subunit ribosomal RNA". It matches the Rfam family "Eukaryotic small subunit ribosomal RNA", at positions 582 to 975 of the family's 1831-position model. The record is from RNAcentral. Lineage: Eukaryota; Oomycota; Peronosporomycetes; Peronosporales.